CCUACGGGUGGCAGCAGUAGGGAAUCUUUCACAAUGGGCGAAAGCCUGAUGGAGCAACGCCGCGUGAAGGAUGAAGGCCUUCGGGUUGUAAACUGCUUUUAUAAGCGAGAAAUAUGAUGGUAACUUAUGAAUAAGGAUCGGCUAACUACGUGCCAGCACCCGCGGUCAUACGUAGGAUCCGAGCAUUAUCCGGAGUGACUGGGUGUAAAGAGUUGCGUAGGUGGCAUAAUAAGUAGCUAGUGAAAUCUGGUGGCUCAACCAUUCAGACUAUUAGCUAAACUGUUAAGCUCGAGACCGUUAGGGGUAGCUGGAAUUUGUAGUGUAGGAGUGAAAUCCGUAGAUAUUAGAAGGAACACCAAUAGCGUAGGCAGGUUGCUGGGACGGUUCUGACACUAAGGCACGAAAGCGUAGGGAGCAAACGGGAUUAGAUACCCUAGUAGUC
RNAcentral lists this ribosomal RNA (442 nucleotides) under uncultured bacterium. RNAcentral's name for it is "partial 16S ribosomal RNA". It matches the Rfam family "Bacterial small subunit ribosomal RNA", at positions 338 to 795 of the family's 1533-position model. The record is from RNAcentral.